GGGAAAAGCCCAGCACCGAAGCCUGUGGUCAUUUGGUCACUAGGCAAUGUGGUGUUCAGGUCGUUCCAUAGAGGUGCUGCUCCACCCUAAGUCCAGCAAUGAGUACGGUGGUACGGACAUGGCCCACAGAGGGUGAAAGGCCCGUGGGGGUGGAGAUCAGGCA
RNAcentral lists this ribosomal RNA (163 nucleotides) under Paragonimus westermani. RNAcentral describes it as "partial large subunit ribosomal RNA". Lineage: Eukaryota; Metazoa; Platyhelminthes; Trematoda; Plagiorchiida; Troglotrematidae. The record is from RNAcentral.